RNAcentral lists this long non-coding RNA (1881 nucleotides) under Ixodes scapularis (black-legged tick). Its description in RNAcentral is "uncharacterized LOC115329890, transcript variant X1". Lineage: Eukaryota; Metazoa; Arthropoda; Arachnida; Ixodida; Ixodidae. The record is from RNAcentral.
GUGAUGCCUGGUCGUGGUUCAUCAGCGUUUGUUUUGAAACUGAUGGGUACCACAAGGCAUGAAGGAGGUGACUUGCAGCAGCAAGGCACUGCAAGCCUUCGCAGCAACUGGCUAGCCAGUGCUGCUCUGUUCUGAACUGCACUGCGUGUCAUGCGGAGGUUUUGUGCAAGCUCUCUGGGCGGCGACGCUAGCCACGAUUGGCUUCGUGGAUGCACAGAAAUACUCGAGGCGCUUGACGUCUGUGGCUCAUCUGUAUUGUUUUUCCCGGUACCACGGCAUGAAGGAGCUGGCCUUCCUCCCUUCCAUCAGCUGCGAGAUACUACAAGCACUGGGCUACAGCUGCAGCUAGCCCAUGGGUACCGUUCUGCGUCCUGUACUGCAUCUAGUUCGAAAGGCCAUGUGAAAGGCAGGUGUGGUCUUUAUGGGCUCUGUCACUGUGUGCAUUUUCUGCAGCUUUUUCGGGGCAACUUCAUAUCAAGAUUCAAUACGGACUCGAGUGAGAGGGGGGCAUUCUGAGAAAGCCAGCCUCUUUGUUAAACCAUUGGGACUGGUAUUAUAUCUACAGAGUUUAUUUACACCUUUUGUUAUGUACUUUUUUAUUUAUUUUUAUUUUACUAGUUACUUAUACUUCAAUCUGACACGACAGCCACCAAAAAUGGGGAAAGGACAAAAAUGUUGACAUAUUGGCCUUUUUGUUUUCUGGCAGUUUGUUUGAAGAGCCAAUGUUGGGGGCCGUCAUUCGUGUUAUUUUUCCCACACGCACGUCCAGCCUAUGUUUACGUAAAGCCCCAAUUGCCCCUUAGCAACAAAAAUAAUUUAUGCGACAGACUAGGCGGCAGCAUUGUGGACGAAAACAGGCCAGAUUAUAUCUGCCAUGUUUAAAAACUACAUUCGGUGACAGGUUAUGAAUUCAGUGGCAAGAAUGCACACCGCCUGCCAAUCACUGCUGUCAGUUGUCGUGACGUCACGUGCUGCUAAGAAACUAGUAUAUAUUUUUUUUAAAUGGCAGGUUUUGGUUGCUGAUGCCUCGUAGCACGUCAGCACUCUAAGCAAUUCUUCUGCUCUUGGCCUCUCCGGUUUUACUUUGCAAAGUCAUGACGGCGUCUGCUUUUGUUUGCGGUAUUUCCCGUUUGUCGACGUGAGAAGGCAGCGAUUGUAUCGCCAAGGAAGUAGCGAUCAAUCUGCGCAUUUAUUCCAGCGGCACAGCGUUUACAAACCGGACUUUGCCCUUCACCGAGGGGAAAGUCUACCGACUGGCCCUACAGUUGGCGAGCAUUGUGCAGCCGUGAGCGCGUAACUUGUCCGAAUGCUUUCGUCUGUAUACAGUGACAAAAUGACUCGCUGAAAUGCGAAGUACCAUACAGUACCAUGCCGUACAGCAAACCAUCGAUCACUUGCUGCAGCAACUUUGCGUUUUAAGUCGUAAUAAUAAAGUGAUUUUUAGGCUAAAAUCAUUUUUUCAUACUGCUCAAUUAUUCGGAAUUCUGCACGAUCCUCAUCGGGUCUGCAAUAUCGGUCGGUGGCUGUAUAACCUUUAAACACAAUGGUUACACACCACAGGUACCGGGGACCAUGACAUCAGUGAGCUGGCUUUCACCUUGUCCAAGGCAGCAGCGGAACACUACGGGCGGGACCCUGGAUCACUGCACCAUGGAUGCCGUCCUGUACCCUGCACGGCACUGCGUGUGGCUUAAGUGGCCAAGCAGAGGGUCAUUGCAUGACUUUUAUGAGGCGCCGCUAGCCAUUGUUUCAAACCGUCCUGAAUCACGGACCAAGCCUUGCAAGACCUCACUCUUAUGCCCUCUCCUUUUUGGUGGAUCGGGUCUUGCCAUCUUCCCCUCUCGUGGCUCCCUGUCAUAAAUAAAUUGUAUAUUUUUCUGA